CCUACGGGAGGCAGCAGUGAGGAAUAUUGGUCAAUGGUCGCAAGUCUGAACCAGCCAUGCCGCGUGAAGGAGGAAGGCUCUGUGUAUUGUAAACCGCUUUUGUCAGAGGAUAAACGCAGGUACGCGUAUCUGUAUGAGAGUAUCGUACGAAUAAGGAUCGGCUAACUCCGUGCCAGCAGCCGCGGUAAUACGGAGGAUUCGAGCGUUAUCCGGAUUUAUUGGGUUUAAAGGGUGCGUAGGCGGUCGGUUAAGUUAGGGGUUAAAGCCCGAGGCUCAACUUCGGAAUUGCCUCUGAUACUGGUCGGCUAGAGAGGAGUAGCGGUAGGCGGAAUGUAUGGUGUAGCGGUGAAAUGCUUAGAGAUCAUACAGAACACCGAUUGCGAAGGCAGCUUACCAGGCUACUACUGACGUUGAGGCACGAAAGCGUGGGGAGCAAACAGGAUUAGAUACCCUGGUAGUC
RNAcentral lists this ribosomal RNA (460 nucleotides) under uncultured bacterium. Its description in RNAcentral is "partial 16S ribosomal RNA". It matches the Rfam family "Bacterial small subunit ribosomal RNA", at positions 338 to 795 of the family's 1533-position model. The record is from RNAcentral.